Cinara cedri is the source of this 392-nucleotide non-coding RNA. The record is from the annotation of a GenBank genome assembly. NCBI's taxonomy places the organism in Eukaryota, Metazoa, Arthropoda, Insecta, Hemiptera, Aphididae.
GUAGUGUGAAAUGUAUUAAACCAAUACAUGACGAUGUUAUACAAGUCAGUAUCAGUAUCUGAAUUUGUCAAUAUUAUUGAAGUUAUACGGACAUUUUAGGGCAUACAUUUUUACAACAUGAAUAUCAGUUUGAUCAUGAAAUAGAUAAACAAAUAAUACAAAUUUUAAAGUAUCUAAAUCUGUUAUAUUAAAAUAUAAUAUUAUUAGUAUUUUAAUAUAGAUAGUUAGGUGAAUACUUCCUAAAAUUAACACAUGUCACCGUUGCUAUUCGUUAGAAAAGGUGGAACCAGUGUGCGAUUUGUGUACACCUCUCUGAACCACGAAGUCGAUUUCUUCUGUGUCCGCGGCCUAUUGUCGUCGUUAAAAUCCACAUGGUAAAUUCCAUAUCUUAA